Molecule: non-coding RNA, 5199 nt
Organism: Microcebus murinus (gray mouse lemur)
Lineage: Eukaryota; Metazoa; Chordata; Mammalia; Primates; Cheirogaleidae
Source: RefSeq, a predicted model, not a curated record
GUGCUGGAAUUACGGGCGUGAGCCACCGCGCCCGGCCCUUUCCUCUACUUUAAAAACUUGUUUUAAACAUCAUGUCCCUUCCCACCCCUCGUCACCAUUUCACCACGAGUUGCAGAAAACAGCCUGAGGAUGAAGACGCGCCUUCCCUCUUCCCUUGCCUCCCGGCCGCCCCCGCUGUCCGGGCCCUGCCUGGGGACACUGUUCCCGGUGCUCAGGGCACUGGCUUCUCUGUGAGUGUUGGCGGCGGCUGUCUCUUCUCGGCCUGCAGAAGGGUCGAGUGACUGGAUGGGCUUAUUUCCCACUCCCAUAAAUUGUUCUUGGUGCCCGGCACUCACACUGGCGGACGCCGGACAGGUGCCAGAGCAGCAGGGCGGAUGUGCUUCCGCACGGCACACCUGCGCUGCAGCCUCGACUGUUCCCACCACCAAUAACGGAGUAGGGUAACAGUAUUCCCUGGCAUUCCGAAAAGAGCACCUGACCGCCAGGCCGCCCACGGCCAGCAUGUGGGAGUUGCCCGCCAGGACAGAGGCUCUGAGCGGCGGGCGGGACCCCCACGGUUCCCAGGCAACGGGGGAGGCGCCGGCCAGGAGAUACCUGGCGAGCUGUUCUGUGUCCUCAUUUGGACAGGACACCACACCUGGGAGCCGGAGCUGACCGGGGACACCCGGCAGCGUGUGGCCACCACGGGGUGUCCCGGCAGAGCCACUCACAGACAGGGCAUCGCUCAGGGCCACCUCCCUCGGCACAGGCAGGAGGAGAAAGGUGCACCUCACUGCAGCUUGCUUUUUCCUUCUAAAGAAAAAACGAGCACGGUGACCCUCACAGGUGCCCAGCCGUGAGCGAGGUCACCCCGCCAGCCGCAGAGGCGUCGCCCCGGGUACAGCACGGCACAGACGCCCGCCGGGCUCCCCAGACUCGGAAGACCGGCUCCCUCUCCAUUUCCCCAUCACCAAAACACCUCGCCACACGUCAGACACCCUCAGGUCCAAAUCAAAUGCCACAUUCAAACAGGGAACAGUCAUUUUCAUUUCUGCAAUUAAUUCCAGCUGAAAUACCGAAAGCAAAAAUGAAACAAGAAGCUGCAUCGCAGACCGCUGCCGUCAGCCUCGUCCUGCUCUUCCCUCCACGCCCGAGUCGUGGCCCACGGCCAGCGCCAUGGAUCCCGAGCCCACACCCAGCAGCACGGGUCCCGAGCCCACACCCAGCAGCACGGGUCCCGAGCCCACACCCAGCGCCACGGAUACCGUGUCCAGGUUCACAGCAGGCUCACCUGUCAUUUCCUCGCUGACGUGACCUCGACCCUCUCCGUGACCUCAGACCUCGGCACCCACCUGUGCGGAUGCAAGGGCCAUCCGGCCUCCACGCACAACCUCCCGCCAGAGCCCGGGCCCGAGGCUGUACGUGAGCUGGCUCUCCUAGGCGCUCCCACUCACAUCUAAAAUUAAAUACGGCUUUUCUAAAACUGGGCUACUUUUUCUUUCAAGCCCUCAGCCACCCCGACUGCUCGCCGUUGCUGUUGUCCUACUCCACGGCCCUCGCCCGAAUCUCAGCACGCAGCACCCUGCCUGGAGGCUUCGUCCUUUAGUAAUUCACUCGGCACCUGCCGUCCGCAGCAGGGUCACCGCCUGACCUCUGCGUCUGCUGUGUCCAACAUAGCGAGGUUCAGGGGGGUCUUACGGGACUGAUGCUGCUCUGAGCCACGGCAACCCUGGACCAUGGACGGUCAAGAACAUUCCGAACCUCCUGGGGGCCGGGCGAGCCCAGAGCCUCGCACACGGGGCCUCCCGGGGCAGGAGGAGGGGAGGGGUGGGGUGGCAGGUGGAGGACAUAGGACGGUCUCUGGCGGGCACGGUGCCCUGCUGCAUAGCAAGGAAGGGAUGUGAAGGGUGCAGUGGGCUCAGCAGGGGCUGAGAGAGCAGAGACAGGCAGGACCCUCGCUCGCUCUGCCGUGGGGAUCCCAUCUGAACGCCUGUCUUGCCCACGGAGCUGCUCCCAGCUCAGGGGGUCAGAGAACCGCAGGGGAGCUCCACUCGUGGGGUGGGCACCGAGCCCCUCCCCAUCCGCCAGCCCGAGGCCCGGCCUGGCGCACCGGCACGGCGAGGCUUGUACCUGCCCCUUCCCAGGUGGCCCACCCCCGCCUGCCCCUGGGUGGACAGAACCCAGGGAGGAGGGCCGUCAGUCGGGCUGCGUCCUGCUGUGGCAGCACCCCAGCUCGGAGCAGAGGCUGGUUUCCCGCCGUUGGCGGAGUUCCCACGGGAACCAGGUCCCGCCAAGGCCCAGCCUGGAGGCUCCACCUCGGCGUCACGCAGGAGGACGGGAGGUGGCAGAGGCCACGCCAUGCCUGGCGUCCUGCUCACUUGCCAGCAGAGCAAGCCACGCGGCUGCCCACGUGGGACCGGCGGGAGUGGCCCGCUGAGCUCCGUUGCUUGGGGACAGGCGUCUCACGAGUGCCAGCGAUGGCCGCAGCCCGGACGGUCACACAGGUCGGCCCUCGACUCUCGGGUCGACUCGGGAAGAGACGGAGCAGCCAGGCGGGCGGGCAGGGUCAGCCCCACGGCCCAGUGGGCCAGAGAGCGAGAGGCGCCUUCUCACUUCCUGCCCCUCAGCACCGGGGCCAACACCCCCAUGGGGUCCAGGGUCCCGGCGCCCCCGAACUCCGGGCCGAGGACUCUGCAGUCACUGGAGAAGACGAGCGCGGCGCCCGCAAACGCCCCGGCACUCGCGAGUCGCUGCUGGAAACCGAGCAGCAGGAGCGUGGGGGGGAGUCAGGCCAUCCACCCCCCUGCAGCCGUCUCCAUGAGAACCCUGAGGGUCCAGGCCCAGCCCUGGACAGGGACACGAGAAAGACCCAGGACCCGCAGUGCCACCUGGCCCAGACCCGUGGGCAGAGCCGGUGCGAGGCCGGCACAGGCAGGUGUCUGGGUGUGGCGCCUGCAGGGCAGGGGGAGGGCCGGUGGGCUGUGGGCUCCGGCUGAGGAAGGCCUGCGAGUUCCUGGUGGGGCUUAAGCAGAGGCUGAAGGGACGAGGGGAGUGGGGUGGGGCUGCUGAGCCCUGAGGAGAGAGUCCCGUGAGCAGGAACGGCAGGUGCAAAGGCCCUGCGGUGGCGGAGGCCCAGGCGGGGCGGCCAUGCUUGGGUGCCCACACAGAUGGCCCGGUCCCCGCCUCAGGACGACGGGCAGAGGGCACAUGCUGAGUUAACCCCGCUCCCAGGCCGGCCUCUGGGUCCUGCCCACACGCUUGCCGGGGCUGUCCUCACGCCUCCUGCUAACCGGCAGAGCUCUGCACACGCAGACCUCCUUUCCCCACAGGUUGUGGGAGGCCCUGAGCCCUGUCCCUGUGGUCCCCACGAUGACACCCUGCACCCCGCGGCUCCGACGUGAAAUUCCACAGCAAUCCAAACUGCAGGCCGGAGGCCCGUCCUCCCACCCGGUCCCCCUGUGGGCUCAGCGCCAGGGGCCUGUCCCUCGCAGGUGUCGUGGGAACAGAUGAGGGACAGAGGCAGAAACCCCAAAGCACAGGUGUCUGGGCCGGACUCUCCUCGCCCUGGGAUGGCCCGGCUCCCGGAGCAGAAACCAGCGUCAGGUCCACCUGAAGCUGCAGGGACGUGGCCGCACCUGACCUGACCAGGCCGCUCACCUGGACGCACUGAGCUGCCACGGGCAGGACUUCAGAGGCCGCAGCCCCCCCAAAGCAGGGGGAGAUGCUCAGAGGGGAACGUGGCCACCUGGUGGCCCCGGCUGGUCCCUCCCCCACUUCCCAGCAGUGGUGCCUCCUGGCCUGAGGCAGCGCCAUGCCCACUCCCCUCAGGCCCUGCAGCCCAAGGAAAUUCCUUAUCUCCAGGACCCUCUGCCUUGGAGUGGAAGAAUCCUGAAAUUCAAGAUUGGUGGCAUUCCCAGCUGCUUCUACUUGCCGGUAUUGGGCAAACACCUGCAGGAAGGCGGCAGGGUUUGCACUAAGAGCAACCCAAGUCACCUGUCCUGGGCGCAAGUCCUGGGCUCCCAGCUUUGGGGACCCCCAAGCACAUCCCAGGCCAUCGGGCCCCUCCAGCUGCAGGCAGCCCCUUGGCCUGUCCCACACCUCACCCAUGCAGAUACAGGGGGCACCCCCAGAACACCCUGACCCAACCCACCUGCAACUGAAGGAGCCCCUCCCUCCCGAACCCUGAGUCCACACCACCCUCUGCGGGGAGCCCCCAAGGGCUCUUGGCUCUGUCCCUAGCUGUGGGAGUCACCCCAGGACAUCCUGCCCCCCCACCCCCACCCCCGCUGCAGGGACGGGUGGGAGGGCAUGUUGGGGGCAGGACAGCCAGUUGGUGGGGGCAGGAGGCAGAAUGGCCCAACCGCCCUGGGGUGAGGGAGAGGCAGGGCUCCCGAUUUCAGGUGGGCAUGGCCACUGACUGUGGCCACUGGGUGGUCAGAGCUGCUGACCAGCAGGACAAAGACAGUCUGGUGUGGAGGGGACGGGACAGGUCCAGUUUGGGACAGCUUCUGGACAGAUGGGACCCCGAGAGGAUGUCACAGUGACAAUUCACACAGGAGCGACCAAACCCGUCCCUAUCAGGGGGAAAGACUCACUGCUACAGACAGAAAUUAGAAAGGACUGAGAAACACGCGGGAUUACUCAGAGGAGAAGACCAUGAGGUCCAGGGCUCCUGGUGAGGUCAGCAGACGUCCACCCCGGGCCAGCCCGAGCUCCCCAAGGCACCGGGACAGCACAGCACCAGGCCUCAGCACCUGCAUCUGCACCACCGUGGCAACGCCACACCUGCCUCCCUCCAGCCUCCUGGGGCUGCACCGACAGUGACCAGGGCAAGGAUGCUGGGGAGAGGACCCCGGACCUCUCCUGGACAACAAACACCAGGCUGUCAGACGGUGCCUGCUCCAGGGCCUCCCGGGUGUCCAGAGGGGCCCAGACCCUGGGAAGCCCCACCCUCCUCCACCUCCCCCAAGGGACCUGUGCUCCCUGCAGACCCUCCACCAGGGCGCAAUGGCCCCAGGCCCACUCUGAGGUUUGCUGCCCACAAUCCCGUGGGGCAACCCCGUGUCCCCCCCACAUCUGCUGCACGGUGCCGACCAAAGAGCUGCUCCUUGUUCAGCCUCAUGGGUGGAGCAUCCAGACACCCGGUGGCAGCUCAGGGAACCGGCGUCCCCGAGCGUGCACCGGGGGUGGGGCACUGGGGGCCCAGGCCAUUCUGCAGAC